UUGAGGCGAAGAAGGGAAUUGAGGUAAGACUGGCAUAAGAGAAUGGAGUUACUGAGCGAAUAUUCAAACGUCUAUUUAUGUGAGAACUUCUUGCCCCUUUGGUUGACACCACCUUAGCCUUAGUCAGUAAGAGAGGGGAUGACUAUUAGAUAGGGACUCCGGAAGUUCAUGGGAAGAUGUUAGUGGAUGGCAGGUUCGAUUACGGAGAAGCCAAUAAUCAAAGAUUAUGCGGAGGGUCCAGCAGUAACUAAUUACCCAAGCAGAAGGACAAUGACACUAGCUAACCAACUGAGAGAGUCAAAUAGAUAGAUGAAUUACUUGCUAAA
Molecule: long non-coding RNA, 326 nt
Filed under: Nicotiana benthamiana
Lineage: Eukaryota; Viridiplantae; Streptophyta; Magnoliopsida; Solanales; Solanaceae
Description: long non-coding RNA (NBEN_LNC024841)
Source: RNAcentral